AGGGCGCAAGGUGAAUGCCUUGGCACUGGGAGCCGAUGAAAGACGUGGUAAGCUGCGAAAAGCUUCGGGGAGGAGCAAACAUCCAUUGAUCCGGAGAUAUCUGAAUGGGGCAACCCAAUGGAGUUCAUACUCCAUUAUCCAAUACUGAAUCCAUAGGUAUUGGAAGGGAACCGCCUGAACUGAAACAUCUAAGUAGGGCGAGGAAGAGACAUCAAACGAGAUUCCGUAAGUAGUGGCGAGCGAACGCGGAAGAGGGCAAACCGAGAGGAGAAAUCCUUUCGGGGUACGGACUGCUUUAAGGACUGAAAGAGUUAACAGAAUGGCAUGGGAAGGCCAACCAAAGAGUGUGAGAGUCACGUAAGUAAAAAUUCUGACAGCUGCGCAGGAUCCAGAGUACGGCCAGACACGUGAAACCUGGUCGGAACACGGGGGGACCACCCUCCAACCCUAAAUACUACCCAGUGACCGAUAGCGUAUAGUACUGUGAAGGAAAGGUGAAAAGGACCCCGGGAGGGGAGUGAAAGAGAACCUGAAACCUUGUGCCUACAAGCACAUAGAGCCCGUCAAAGGGUGAUAUGGUACUUUUUGUAGAACGGUCCGGCGAGCGAUUGUACGUUGCGAGCUUAAGGUCUUAAGGACUGGAGGCGUAGCGAGAGCGAGUCUAAACAGGGCGUUUAGUAGCGUGCAAUGGGCCCGAAACCGGGUGACCUACCCAUGAUCAGGCUGAAGUGAAAGUAAAAUUUCAUGGAGGGCCGAACCGACCUCCGUUGAAAAGGCGGCGGAUGAAUUGUGGGUAGCGGAGAAAUUCCAAUCGAACUCGGAGAUAGCUGGUUCUCCCCGAAAUAGCUUUAGGGCUAGCCUCAUGUUAGAUAUCCGGAGGUAAAGCACUGAAUGGCCUAGCGUCCGAGAGGAUAGCGAAGCCUAUCAAACUAAGAAUGCCGGAAUAUUGAUGCAUGGGAGUCAGACAGUGUGAGAUAAAUCUCAUUGUCAAAAGGGAAACAGCCCAGAUCUACAGCUAAGGUCCCAAAUUGUAUCUAAGUGGAAAACGAUGUGGAAAUACGCAGACAACCAGGAUGUUGGCUCAGAAGCAGCCACUCAUUUAAAGAGUGCGUAAUAGCUCACUGGUCGAGCGUCUCUGCGCGGAAAAUUUAACGGGGCUAAGAUACAAACCGAAGCUUAGGCUGCACUUUUAGUGCGGGGUAGGGGAGCGUUGUGUAAGCGGAGAAACAGUAGCGUAAGCGGCUGUGGAGUUUACAGAAGUGAGAAUGCCGGAAUGAGUAGCGCGAAUGCAGUGAGAAUCUGCAUGGCCGAAAGCCUCAGGUUUUUGGAGGAAGGUUCGUCCGCUCCAAGUUAGGCGGGAGCUAAGGUGAGGCCGAAAGGCGUAGCCGAUGCACAGACGGUAGAGAUUCCGUCCCCACCGAAAGAUUUAAGCGCAGGGACACUUUUAGAAGGUCGGAGCCAGGUGUUGGUUCUGGUAGAGAUCGAGGGAAGAUUAGUACCGAAGUCCGGCUGGAUAAGAGGCGAGAAAAGCUGCGUGUAUAUCUAAGGUGCCCGUACCGCAAACCGACACAGGUAGGUAGGAAGAAGAUUCUAAGGCCAACGGGAGAAGGGUUGUUAAGGAACUCGGCAAAUUGACCCCGUAACUUCGGGAGAAGGGGUGCUCCAGAGAUGGAGCCGCAGAGAAUCGGCCCAAGCAACUGUUUACCAAAAACACAGGUUUGUGCUAAAUCGAAAGAUGACGUAUACGAGCUGACGCCUGCCCGGUGCUGGAAGGUUAAGAGGAGAUGUGCAAGCAUUGAAUCGAAGCCCCAGUGAACGGCGGCCGUAACUAUAACGGUCCUAAGGUAGCGAAAUUCCUUGUCAGGUAAGUUCUGACCCGCAUGAAAGGCGUAAUGAUUUGGGCACUGUCUCAACAGCCCGCCCGGCGAAAUUGUAGUACCGGUGAAGAUGCCGGUUACCCGCGACAAGACGGAAAGACCCCAUGGAGCUUUACUGUAGCCUAAUAUUGGGUUUCGAUGUUGCAUGCACAGGAUAGAUGGGACACAGGGAAACAAGUGCUUUGGCAUUUGUGGAGUGGCCGUUGGGAUACCAUCCUUGCGAUAUUGGAAUUCUAACCUGCG
This 2120-nucleotide ribosomal RNA is filed under the name human gut metagenome. RNAcentral's name for it is "bacterial LSU rRNA". It matches the Rfam family "Bacterial large subunit ribosomal RNA", at positions 14 to 2231 of the family's 2925-position model. The record is from RNAcentral.